RNAcentral lists this ribosomal RNA (207 nucleotides) under uncultured bacterium. Its description in RNAcentral is "partial 16S ribosomal RNA". It matches the Rfam family "Bacterial small subunit ribosomal RNA", at positions 568 to 774 of the family's 1533-position model. The record is from RNAcentral.
CAUGUAGGCGGUUUACUAAGUCGGACGUGAAAGCUCCUGGCUCAACUAGGAGAGGUCGUUCGAAACUAGUAGACUAGAGGGUGGUAGAGGAGAGCGGAAUUCCAGGUGUAGCGGUGAAAUGCGUAGAUAUCUGGAGGAACACCAGUGGCGAAAGCGGCUCUCUGGCCCACUCCUGACGCUGAGAUGCGAAAGCCAGGGGAGAGAACG